AACGAACGCUGGCGGCAUGCCUAACACAUGCAAGUCGAACGAGACCUUCGGGUCUAGUGGCGCACGGGUGCGUAACGCGUGGGAACCUGCCCUUAGGUUCGGAAUAACUCCCCGAAAGGGGUGCUAAUACCGGAUAAUGUCUUCGGACCAAAGAUUUAUCGCCUUUGGAUGGGCCCGCGUUGGAUUAGCUAGUUGGUAGGGUAAAAGCCUACCAAGGCGACGAUCCAUAGCUGGUCUGAGAGGAUGAUCAGCCACACUGGGACUGAGACACGGCCCAGACUCCUACGGGAGGCAGCAGUGGGGAAUAUUGGGCAAUGGGCGAAAGCCUGAUGCAGCAAUGCCGCGUGAGUGAUGAAGGCCUUAGGGUUGUAAAGCUCUUUUACCCGGGAUGAUAAUGACAGUACCGGGAGAAUAAGCUCCGGCUAACUCCGUG
Molecule: ribosomal RNA, 433 nt
Filed under: uncultured bacterium
Lineage: Bacteria
Description: partial 16S ribosomal RNA
Rfam family: Bacterial small subunit ribosomal RNA
Source: RNAcentral